ACUGCUCAGUAACACGUGGACAACCUGCCUUUAGGUUGGGUAUAAACCCGGGAAACUGGGUAUAAUACCCGAUAGGUCUCGAUUGCUGGAAUGCAUCGAGAUUUAAAGCUCCGGCGCCUAAGGAUGGGUCUGCGGCCUAUCAGGUAGUAGUGGGUGUAGCGUACCUACUAGCCUACGACGGGUACGGGUUGUGAGAGCAAGAGCCCGUAGAUGGAUUCUGAGACACGAAUCCAGGCCCUACGGGGUGCAGCAGGCGCGAAAACUUUACAAUGCUGGCAACAGCGAUAAGGGAACCUCGAGUGCCAGGUUACAAAUCUGGCUGUCGAGAUGCCUAAAAAGCAUUUCAUAGCAAGGGCCGGGCAAGACCGGUGCCAGCCGCCGCGGUAACACCGGCGGCUCGAGUGGUAACCGUUAUUAUUGGGUCUAAAGGGUCUGUAGCCGGCCGGAUAAGUCUCUUGAGAAAUCUGGCAGCUUAACUGUCAGGCUUUCAGGAGAUACUGUCUGGCUCGAGGCCGGGAGAGGUGAGAGGUACUUCAGGGGUAGGGGUGAAAUCUUGAAAUCCUUGAAGGACCACCAGUGGCGAAGGCGUCUCACCAGAACGGACCUGACGGCAAGGGACGAAAGCUAGGGGCACGAACCGGAUUAGAUACCCGGGUAGUCCUAGCCGUAAACGAUACUCGCUAGGUGUCGGCCACGGUGCGACCGUUGUCGGUGCCGUAGGGAAGCCGUGAAGCGAGCCACCUGGGAAGUACGGCCGCAAGGCUGAAACUUAAAGGAAUUGGCGGGGGAGCAC
RNAcentral lists this ribosomal RNA (793 nucleotides) under uncultured archaeon. Its description in RNAcentral is "bacterial SSU rRNA". It matches the Rfam family "Archaeal small subunit ribosomal RNA", at positions 85 to 879 of the family's 1478-position model. The record is from RNAcentral.